GCUUUUUGCUUGGGUAGGUGGUUUUCCUCACCUGCCUCUGGACAAGAGGGCCAGGUGAGGUGGCAGUGUAUCGAAACAGUGCUCCUCCCCCGGCACCCAUCCUCAGACCCCCUAACCCUCCUUCUCUCCAGCUGGCUGCAGCCUAGUGUUGAACAGGAACUUCGUGCAGUACGCCUGCUUUGGGCUCUUUGGAAUCAGCUCUGCAGACGAUUGCCUUCAGCAUUUUAUGGGACUUGAAGUAUUUGAUGAGGAACCUGGCCCUGGGAGGAGGCCUGUUGCUGCUCCUAGCAGAAUCUCAUUCUGAAGGGAAGAGCAUGUUCGCAGGCGUCCCCACCAUGCGUGAGAGCUCCCCCAAACAGUACAUGCAGCUCGGAGGCAGGAUCUUGCUGGUUCUGAUGUUCAUGACCCUCCUUGACUUUGAUGCCAGCUUCUUUUCUGUAAGUAUUCCUGCUUGUCUGAAUGGGUCUGGUUUUCUGUCCUACUAGAAGGAAUGCUGUGCUUCCCCCAUCCCCUCCCUGUUCACCCCUCCCUGGUUGGGUACUAACCACAGCCUGAGGGAGCUGCUCAAAUGGAGCAAACCUUUUGAUCCCAUUAAAACAGACCAAAAAAUCAUCAAUCCCUUGUGUGUCAAGCCUUCUUUCCAGCAAGUGAAGGCCAGAGCCUCUAACCUAGGUGGAGUGUGCUUGGCCCUUGGUCGGCCAAGGCUCUCCACCCAAGCUCUUCUUAUAUUUUGGAAGAUGGUGAUAGGGGAACUCCUUUGAGUUAGAAAGAACAUUGGCAAAUAGCCUAUUCCUGGUUUUCCUCUUCAAGUAAUACAAAUCCUUAGCAUCAGUCAUGUAAUGACUGGCAACCUGUGGCUACCUGGCUUAUCUGUGCAGGGGUCCUGUGCUGCAUUCGUAGUCACUUAAACUGCCAGGCACAAGUUCAGGAUUGUUCUUUGCAAAUCAGUCAGUGAAUCUUCUGUAGAAAUAGAAUAGAAUUCUGGAGAUCCUACUGAAGACACUCCUGUGCUUGACCUCCAUUUCAUGUUAGAACACAGCUUGACUAGCAGGUUAACUGAAUCACAUGUUUCCAUAACUGUCAGAGGAUGGAUGGAUAUUUCGGGAAGCAGAUUCUCAGAUGGAGGUGAGCCUCAGGAAGCUAACCAGGCUUCCAUACUUGUGAGAAAGGGAACAUAAGUGAACGUAAAGGAAGAAGUUGAGCUGUGAUGCCUUCUCAGAAGAAGCUUCAGCCAACUUUGGGGGCAGUUCUGAAGCUGAGGUCCGUUUAGAGCUAUCCUGCAUCGUAAUGAGGGGUCUGGGGCUUUAAUCUCUGAUUAAGCAUUGCAUGCCAGCCACCCAGGAAGAGGUGUGACUUCUGGUGAGCCAAACAGGAGAGGCUGACUGCUGACAUCUACCUGCCUGGGAACGUGCAGUAGCUGGGAGAACAAACCUUUCAUUCCUGAAAGGUGUAUGUAAAAACAGGCACAUGGCAAAAAACACACUGAACAUAUAGACCUAAUAUGAGCCUCAAAAGCAGUAAUAAGGAAGUACAUUUUCCUGCUUUCUGUGGUCAGCAGGAAGUCACAGGCUGUCCUAAUCAGAAAUCCGUUUGAAGUCAAGUCAACCUCAUCUUAGUUCUGGAAUGCUUGUACCUUCUGGGGCUACAGGGCUUCAGUGUUUUGACUUGGAGUGGAAUGAGAAUUGUCAGGAGGAAACCCCAUGACUGGAUCACCACUAUAUGAGGGAGGUGGCUUGAGGGCUCAGCUGGGUCAUGUAGGCAAGGGUGAUGGUUUGGUGUAGUCGCUCUUUCCUGUUACUGAACGCUG
Long non-coding RNA from Cebus imitator (Panamanian white-faced capuchin), 1807 nucleotides. RefSeq lists it as uncharacterized. The transcript is spliced from 3 exons. Lineage: Eukaryota; Metazoa; Chordata; Mammalia; Primates; Cebidae. The record is from RefSeq and is a predicted model, not a curated record.